CCCAGCCCGGCCCGGCCCCUGCCCCGGGGGGCCCCGCUCGGAGGGAAGCAUGGCAGAGUCCUAGAAUCCGCGCGUCUGUCUGCAGGGAGAGAGCCUGCGGGGAACCGGGGCGUGACAUGGUCUCCAGCCCCUUAUGAAACCUGCCCAAUCUCCCUGCUCCUCUGCCAGGCUGAGGAAUCGCGUCCACGAUUCCCUCCAGAUCGUCCCGUCUUCCAGGAGACAGGGCCGGGAAAUGGCCAUGAUGGAGCCAGCUCAGAUGCCGGUGACCUUCGAGGAGGUGGCUGUGUAUUUCACCCAGGGGCAGGGGGCUC
This is a long non-coding RNA of Mauremys reevesii (Reeves's turtle), 311 nucleotides long. RefSeq lists it as uncharacterized. The record is from RefSeq and is a predicted model, not a curated record. Lineage: Eukaryota; Metazoa; Chordata; Testudines; Geoemydidae. The transcript has 3 exons.